Molecule: long non-coding RNA, 134 nt
Organism: Eurytemora carolleeae
Lineage: Eukaryota; Metazoa; Arthropoda; Copepoda; Calanoida; Temoridae
Exons: 3
Source: RefSeq, a predicted model, not a curated record
ACAGAACCAAACAUUUAAUCAAUAUUAAAAACGCCGAGAGUUGGAUGUCAGGAAGAACAGAAUAUAUUUCAACAACAGAUUCUGGGAAUGGAGAGGAGGAAGGGACCAGUAUUGUUGUCAUGGACAAUAAGGUU